Molecule: RNA transcript, 1950 nt
Organism: Xenia sp. Carnegie-2017
Lineage: Eukaryota; Metazoa; Cnidaria; Anthozoa; Malacalcyonacea; Xeniidae
Gene name: 2-oxoglutarate dehydrogenase-like, mitochondrial
Exons: 16
Source: RefSeq, a predicted model, not a curated record
GCAACCGUGAAAGUACUUCUGGCGAGAUAAAGUUUUGGUUAUCACGUAAGUUGAAGUCGUGGUCAGUCGCCACAAAUCGCGAACACCCUUCCUGGAAACCUAGACGCCUCUCGAAGCCGAUAAGUAACCUUGGAGGGCCCAGACGAAAGAUUUCGAAUUCACUCGCACAAAAUAAAAAAACUUUUGAAUACCAGUAAAAGUAUGGCGGAUAUUUCUACACCCAAGAAAGUGCCGCCAAUGAAGAGGCUAGGAAAAUCAUCUUCGCAUGUCAUGACCACCGACCGACCUCGGAAAAUCAUCUUCGCAUGACAAAUCAAAUGAAGAAUAAUCAAAUCAAAGUUUUGGUUAUCCCAUGAAAUCGAACUGAUGGUCAGCGUUAAUGAAGCUCGCUCUUCUUUAAAGAAGUCAUAGAAGAUAGAAAAGACCUUAUCUCAGCAAAGUUUUCUCCUGAAGUCGAAAUUGCAGGAAAAAAUGGACGAACCGUCUUGCAAGGAGUUCACAAAUAACGGAAUUACAACAGAAGAUUAUUGACGCCGAGCAAGGUGACAGAACGAAAUAUCGAUGGAAUAACAUCCAUACGAUGGCUGAAGCUAAAGCAGGCCUCAGGUCUUUGUCUAAUUGGGUGACUGGAUCAGACAAAAGUUUGAAACACCUGGAGCAUUUGAAUUGAACAAGGAAGAAAAACGACGAUUACUUGCUAGAUUAGUUCGAUCAACUGGAUUUGAUGCAUUUCUUGCAAAGAAAUGGUCUUCUGAGAAGAGAUUUGGGUUGGAAGGUUGUGAGGUGUUAAUUCCUGCAAUGAAAGAAAUUAUUGAUGUUGCAAGUACUCAUGGUAUUGAAAGUUUUGUUAUUGGUAUGCCACAUCGUGGACGGCUAAAUGUACUUGCAAACGUUUGUCGUAAACCACUUGAACAAAUCUUUACUCAGUUCAAUCCAAAUUUUGAGCCAUCAGAUGAAGGCUCUGGUGACGUCAAGUAUCAUCUAGGAAUGUCGCACAAGAGAAUUAAUCGGGUGACAAACAAGGAAAUACGUCUUGCUGUUGUUGCUAAUCCUUCACAUCUUGAAGCGGUGGAUCCUGUUGUCCAAGGAAAAACUAAAGCUGAACAAUUUUACAAAUAUGAUGAUAACGGAAAGAAAGUGAUGAGUAUACUCCUUCAUGGGGACGCUGCAUUUGCUGGUCAGGGUGUAGUUGAUGAAACAUUUCAUCUUAGCGAUCUUCCAAAUUAUACAACCCAUGGAACUAUUCAUAUUAUCGUGAACAAUCAGAUUGGUUUUACGACAGACCCUAGAGUUGUUGCUCGUUCAUCGCCAUAUUGUACAGAUGUAGCUAAAGUCGUUCAGUGUCCAAUAUUUCACGUAAACGCUGAUCAUCCUGAGGCUGUAAUGAAUGUUUGUCGCACUGCAGCUGAAUGGAGGAAUGAGUUUGGAAAGGAUGUUGUCAUUGAUCUUGUAGUUUGAUGAACUUCUAACAAGCAAUUGGCAGAGAAGAAAGGGAUCCGUUUUCAAACUGUGAAUUUGUUAAUUUAUGGAAAGUAUUGGUGAUUUUCUUAUGCGCCUUGCUGAUGGACUCCUUACAAAAUAAUAUCAUUGGAUUCUCGUUGCUACAUUUGUUAUUCCCUUAAGACACACAUGACAACCAAGAAUUGCUGUUGUCAAAAUUAUUUUUAUUGUUUGCCUGACGAGAUGAAGACAAGAAAGAGCUUUGGCUGAAAAACGUGAAAAGCAAUGUUACAAUUCGUUCGUUGAAGUUUGGUGAAGAAGCCAUUAUCUUUAAAGCGAUGUGGUGCUGGUUCAGUUCAUUGAAAGUUCCGUUUAUUCAAAACCAUUUGAAAUAUGCGACAAGGAGAAAUACUGUGCGGCGCGUUUCGCAUCAAUAUUCAUUCAAUUGCUUCAAGUUUUGUCACAGCCACAAACGAAGAAUAAUGUUUACGAAGCUCAAAGCCACAUGUU